GACGAACGCUGGCGGCGUGCUUAACACAUGCAAGUCGAACGGAAAGUCCCUGCCUUUGUGGGGUGCUCGAGUGGCGAACGGGUGAGUAACACGUGAGUAACCUGCCCUUGACUUUGGGAUAUCUUCAUGAAACUGGGGCUAAUACCGGAUAGGAGUUCUUGCUGCAUGGUGGGGGUUGGAAAGUUUCGGCGGUUGGGGAUGGACUCGCGGCUUAUCAGCUUGUUGGUGGGGUAGUGGCUUACCAAGGCUUUGACGGGUAGCCGGCCUGAGAGGGUGACCGGCCACAUUGGGCCUGAGAUACGGCCCAGACUCCUACGGGAGGCAGCAGUGGGGAAUAUUGCACAAUGGGCGGAAGCCUGAUGCAGCAACGCCGCGUGCGGGAUGACGGCCUUCGGGUUGUAAACCGCUUUCGCCUGUGACGAAGCGUGAGUGACGGUAAUGGGUAAAGAAGCACCGGCUAACUACGUG
This 468-nucleotide ribosomal RNA is filed under the name uncultured bacterium. RNAcentral describes it as "partial 16S ribosomal RNA". It matches the Rfam family "Bacterial small subunit ribosomal RNA", at positions 28 to 507 of the family's 1533-position model. The record is from RNAcentral.